AAUCAACGCUGGCGGCGUGCCUCAGACAUGCAAGUCGAACGAUUAAAGCUCUCUUCGGAGAGUGUAUAGAGUGGCGCACGGGUGAGUAACACGUAAGUAAUCUACCUUUGAGUGGGGAAUAACAGUCGGAAACGACUGCUAAUACCGCAUAAUGCAGCGGCAUCGCAAGAUGACAGUUGUUAAAGGAGCAAUCCGCUUAAAGAGGAGCUUGCGGCAGAUUAGCUAGUUGGUAAGGUAAUGGCUUACCAAGGCUACGAUCUGUAUCCGGUCUAAGAGGACGGUCGGACACACUGACACUGAAUAACGGGUCAGACUCCUACGGGAGGCAGCAGUCGGGAAUUUUGGGCGAAUGGGCGAAAGCCUGACCCAGCAACGCCGCGUGAAGGAUGAAGUAUUUCGGUAUGU
RNAcentral lists this ribosomal RNA (405 nucleotides) under uncultured bacterium. Its description in RNAcentral is "bacterial SSU rRNA". It matches the Rfam family "Bacterial small subunit ribosomal RNA", at positions 32 to 426 of the family's 1533-position model. The record is from RNAcentral.